This 253-nucleotide ribosomal RNA is filed under the name uncultured bacterium. RNAcentral's name for it is "partial 16S ribosomal RNA". It matches the Rfam family "Bacterial small subunit ribosomal RNA", at positions 524 to 776 of the family's 1533-position model. The record is from RNAcentral.
UACAGAGGUCUCAAGCGUUGUUCGGAUUCAUUGGGCGUAAAGGGUGCGUAGGCGGUGCGGUAAGUCGGGUGUGAAAUCUCGGAGCUUAACUCCGAAACUGCAUUCGAUACUGCCGUGCUUGAGGACUGGAGAGGAGACUGGAAUUUACGGUGUAGCGGUGAAAUGCGUAGAUAUCGUAAGGAAGACCAGUGGCGAAGGCGGGUCUCUGGACAGUUCCUGACACUGAGACACGAAGGCCAGGGGAGCAAACGGG